RNAcentral lists this ribosomal RNA (465 nucleotides) under uncultured bacterium. RNAcentral describes it as "bacterial SSU rRNA". It matches the Rfam family "Bacterial small subunit ribosomal RNA", at positions 338 to 795 of the family's 1533-position model. The record is from RNAcentral.
CCUACGGGGUGCACCAGUGGGGAGUAUUGCACAAUGGGCGCAAGCCUGAUGCAGCCAUGCCGCGUGUGUGAAGAAGGCCUUCGGGUUGUAAAGCACUUUCAGCGGGGAGGAAGGCAUUAAGGUUAAUAACCUUGGCGAUUGACGUUACCCGCAGAAGAAGCACCGGCUAACUCCGUGCCAGCAGCCGCGGUAAUACGGAGGGUGCAAGCGUUAAUCGGAAUUACUGGGCGUAAAGCGCACGCAGGCGGUCUGUCAAGUCGGAUGUGAAAUCCCCGGGCUCAACCUGGGAACUGCAUUCGAAACUGGCAGGCUAGAGUCUUGUAGAGGGGGGUAGAAUUCCAGGUGUAGCGGUGAAAUGCGUAGAGAUCUGGAGGAAUACCGGUGGCGAAGGCGGCCCCCUGGACAAAGACUGACGCUCAGGUGCGUAAGCGUGGGGAGCAAACAGGAUUAGAUACCCCAGUAGUC